AGUGAACGCUGGCGGUAGGCCUAACACAUGCAAGUCGAACGGCAGCACAGUAAGAGCUUGCUCUUACGGGUGGCGAGUGGCGGACGGGUGAGGAAUACAUCGGAAUCUACUUUUUCGUGGGGGAUAACGUAGGGAAACUUACGCUAAUACCGCAUACGACCUACUGGUGAAAGCAGGGGAUCUUCGGACCUUGCGCGAUUGAAUGAGCCGAUGUCGGAUUAGCUAGUUGGCGGGGUAAAGGCCCACCAAGGCGACGAUCCGUAGCUGGUCUGAGAGGAUGAUCAGCCACACUGGAACUGAGACACGGUCCAGACUCCUACGGGAGGCAGCAGUGGGGAAUAUUGGACAAUGGGCGCAAGCCUGAUCCAGCCAUACCGCGUGGGUGAAGAAGGCCUUCGGGUUGUAAAGCACUUUUGUUGGGAAAGAAAAGCAGCAGGUUAAUACCCCGCUGUUCUGACGGUACCCAAAGAAUAAGCACCGGCUAACUUCGUG
Molecule: ribosomal RNA, 492 nt
Filed under: uncultured bacterium
Lineage: Bacteria
Description: partial 16S ribosomal RNA
Rfam family: Bacterial small subunit ribosomal RNA
Source: RNAcentral